AGAGUUUGAUCCUGGCUCAGGAUGAACGCCGGCGGUGUGCCUAAUACAUGCAAGUCGUACGCACUGGCCCAACUGAUUGAUGGUGCUUGCACCUGAUUGACGAUGGAUCACCAGUGAGUGGCGGACGGGUGAGUAACACGUAGGUAACCUGCCCCGGAGCGGGGGAUAACAUUUGGAAACAGAUGCUAAUACCGCAUAACAACAAAAGCCACAUGGCUUUUGUUUGAAAGAUGGCCUUGGCUAUCACUCUGGGAUGGACCUGCGGUGCAUUAGCUAGUUGGUAAGGUAACGGCUUACCAAGGCGAUGAUGCAUAGCCGAGUUGAGAGACUGAUCGGCCACAAUGGAACUGAGACACGGUCCAUACUCCUACGGGAGGCAGCAGUAGGGAAUCUUCCACAAUGGGCGCAAGCCUGAUGGAGCAACACCGCGUGAGUGAAGAAGGGUUUCGGCUCGUAAAGCUCUGUUGUUGGAGAAGAACGUGCGUGAGAGUAACUGUUCACGCAGUGACGGUAUCCAACCAGAAAGUCACGGCUAACUACGUGCCAGCAGCCGCGGUAAUACGUAGGUGGCAAGCGUUAUCCGGAUUUAUUGGGCGUAAAGCGAGCGCAGGCGGUUGCUUAGGUCUGAUGUGAAAGCCUUCGGCUUAACCGAAGAAGUGCAUCGGAAACCGGGCGACUUGAGUGCAGAAGAGGACAGUGGAACUCCAUGUGUAGCGGUGGAAUGCGUAGAUAUAUGGAAGAGCACCAGUGGCGAAGGCGGCUGUCUGGUCUGCAACUGACGCUGAGGCUCGAAAGCAUGGGUAGCGAACAGGAUUAGAUACCCUGGUAGUCCAUACCGUAAACGAUGAGUGCUAGGUGUUGGAGGGUUUCCGCCCUUCAGUGCCGGAGCUAACGCAUUAAGCACUCCGCCUGGGGAGUACGACCGCAAGGUUGAAACUCAAAGGAAUUGACGGGGGCCCGCACAAGCGGUGGAGCAUGUGGUUUAAUUCGAAGCUACGCGAAGAACCUUACCAGGUCUUGACAUCUUGCGCUAACCUUAGAGAUAAGGCGUUCCCUUCGGGGACGCAAUGACAGGUGGUGCAUGGUCGUCGUCAGCUCGUGUCGUGAGAUGUUGGGUUAAGUCCCGCAACGAGCGCAACCCUUGUUACUAGUUGCCAGCAUUAAGUUGAGCACUCUAGUGAGACUGCCGGUGACAAACCGGAGGAAGGUGGGGACGACGUCAGAUCAUCAUGCCCCUUAUGACCUGGGCUACACACGUGCUACAAUGGACGGUACAACGAGUCGCAAGCUCGCGAGAGUAAGCUAAUCUCUUAAAGCCGUUCUCAGUUCGGACUGUAGGCUGCAACUCGCCUACACGAAGUCGGAAUCGCUAGUAAUCGCGGAUCAGCAUGCCGCGGUGAAUACGUUCCCGGGCCUUGUACACACCGCCCGUCA
This 1434-nucleotide ribosomal RNA is filed under the name uncultured bacterium. RNAcentral describes it as "bacterial SSU rRNA". It matches the Rfam family "Bacterial small subunit ribosomal RNA". The record is from RNAcentral.